GUGCCCGUAGCUCAAUAGGAUAGAGCACCGGCCUUCUAAGCCGGGGGUUGUGGGUUCGAGUCCCGCCGGGCAUGCCA
Molecule: transfer RNA, 77 nt
Filed under: Betaproteobacteria bacterium RIFCSPLOWO2_02_64_14
Lineage: Bacteria; Pseudomonadati; Pseudomonadota; Betaproteobacteria
Description: tRNA-Arg
Rfam family: tRNA
About the family: Transfer RNA (tRNA) molecules are approximately 80 nucleotides in length. Their secondary structure includes four short double-helical elements and three loops (D, anti-codon, and T loops). Further hydrogen bonds mediate the characteristic L-shaped molecular structure. tRNAs have two regions of fundamental functional importance: the anti-codon, which is responsible for specific mRNA codon recognition, and the 3' end, to which the tRNAs corresponding amino acid is attached (by aminoacyl-tRNA synthetases). tRNAs cope with the degeneracy of the genetic code in two manners: having more than one tRNA (with a specific anti-codon) for a particular amino acid; and 'wobble' base-pairing, i.e. permitting non-standard base-pairing at the 3rd anti-codon position.
Source: RNAcentral